Molecule: long non-coding RNA, 16713 nt
Filed under: Zea mays
Lineage: Eukaryota; Viridiplantae; Streptophyta; Magnoliopsida; Poales; Poaceae
Description: long non-coding RNA (ZMAY_LNC000517)
Source: RNAcentral
CUUAGACUUCAGAUUUCAGGUACCAGGAUGAUCUUCAGAUUCUCGUGACCUCACUGCUAUUCGUAGCAGUACAAACAAACAUGGUAUAGGCAAAAUUAACAUCACACCAAACAUAAGCACAAACUGUAUAAUAAUAUUUUACGCGAUGCUACGAGAUCGUAGGUUCGAGAACCACUAAACUCGGAGUUACGAUUAUAAAGUUAUGAAUUUUUGGAAGACCUACACGAUCACAUAUUAAACUAUAGUAUAAAAUGUUUAAUAUACAUCAUACGAGAAAUUAUGCUCAAAAUAAUUAAUCCUAAUUUAAUCUAGAUUAUAACUUGUUUAGAAAUCAUAUUACAGCCAAAUUACAAUUAUAGACAUGUUGACUUGACUAGAUUGAUUAACCAACUAACACAAGCUAAAUAAAUAUCCAAUUAUAAAAGUAUAUGGACUAAUAAAAAUAAUGAUCUAAGGUGUAAACAAUUUUAUUACGAAGCUAAUGCAAUUUGAACGGAUUGAAACAGACUUAAAAUAAAUUAAAUAUGAAUUAAAUAAGUUUCUGGAAUUACUUUUAUAUAAAAAACAAUUUUAUUAUAAUUUCCGGAAUCCUAAAUCGUGACCACAAUUAUUUGAAACUUCAGGGGCACUUCUGCUAAGAAAGGGGACCCGAGCGCAAUUAUUUUCCCACCUACAUUGUAACACCCUGAAUUUGGGGUAUAAAAUUUCUUUCUUAUGAUCAUCCAAAUUCACGUGUUACUCUUCUCUAUCUCACUCUAGCUUCACUCUCUCUCUCUAGUUUUCUCCCUCUCUUUUUCUUUUAAUUAGAGUUAGUGGUAUUAGUGAAGGAUUAUUUAUUUUAUUUUGCCCAAAACCUAUGAGUCAUGGAAUGUUGCAUCAUAUUGAGUCUAAAUAUUCUUUGAAUUGUUGCAUAUAUUUGAUUUGGUUUGAAUUUGAAACUUGAUUUGAAUUUGAAUUGAAAACCCUAGAGAAAAUAGAAAAAGCCAAUCUGGCCCAGUUAGCCCAAGUCGGCCUAGCUUGCGCGCCCGCGCUGACAGGCGAACCCCGCCUGUCAGUUUGUCUCGCCAGCGCGCCCUCUCUCCCCCCUCUCUGCCCCGUGGGCCAGAGCUGUCAGCGCCAUUAUUUUCCCCCGCGCCCACUCUCUCUCUGUCCUGCCGUCCCCACCUUUCAGCUCGUCCUCAACCUCCCACCCACGAUCUCCCCGCCGUGGACGCGCCCACGACCGCGCGUUCUCCAGCCACAUCCGCGCCACCGCGCCCCUUUUGAGCCUCGCGCCCUACUCGCCCAUCUCUCCUCUCUCAUUUGCGCCCUCUGCCCAACCCUCUCGCCCUCUCUCUCGCUCUGCCCACGCGUGCAGGGAGCUCUGCCACCGCCCGCCGUCGACCGCUGCCUGUUCUGUGGCCGCCGUCACGCCCGUGCCCCGUUAAGUGCCACAGUGAGCUCCGCCUUACUGUCAGCUGCUCGGGACACCCUUAUGUGUGCCGUUUCUUUCCCUGCUGCGUCCGGUCCGUGCUCACCGGAGCGUUUCUUGCGCAGCUAGAGCCCGCCGCCGUCGCCCCGUCGAGCCCUUGCUCCUUCGUCGUUGCUUCGCGACGCCAACGCUUUUGCUCGAGGUGAGCAACCUGCCCGUGCCCUUAAUCUGGUCAUUGCUGCCCUGUUUAGCGCGUGAUUGUUCGCCGGAGUUGCCCUGCACCGCCGUUAGGGCGCCUCGCCGUGUGCAGCGCCCUCUGGUGCUCCUGCGCCGGCGUGAGGCCCAUGUCUGAACCCGCCAGAUCACCCUGAUUGCGCCCAGACCAAUCCCCAAGCCCCGGGAGCCCCGCCGUGGCCAGCCCCCUCGUCUCCGGCGAGUUCUCGCCACGGGACCGAGCGGCGCCACCACGCCCACGCCUGUCUCUGGCCGUUAGAUCCCGGCCGUUCAUCCGAGAUCGGACAAUUUAGAGCUAACCCGAGCGGAUCUAAUCCUAGCCCUCCAAUCUGGAUCCAACCGUCUCUCUCUUCCCCCCUCACCCGCGUCUCUGCCGCUAGGGCCGGUUGGUCAGCCCGCCCUGACCUGCUGACGCCCUGGCCCCGCUUGUCAGUCGUGCCCGCGCGCCCGCACGAUCUAUUCUGGGCCGCUGAUCUCUGAUUCGAUGGCCGAGGUUACCCCAUACCCCUUCGUGUGUGAAUUUUGCUUAAGAACCCCCAUGGUUUUAGGAAAUCAACCCACCGUCCUCUGUUUUAGCGCAUAGGUCCCUGGUUUCUUUUGAAUAGCCCCCUGGACUUUUAUUUAAUCACAGAUUUAGCCCUAAUUUCAUAUUUCAAACUUUAAAACUUGUUUAUUUCAUAUCUUUUUCAUAUGAACUCCAAAUUUAGUGGUUCAAAUUGCAAAAUGUUCACAAAAUUAUUCUAUGUUCAAAUAAAAUAUGACCAAUUGUAAUAUGUAUACUUUAUUUUUACACUUAGAAUAUAGGAUUAAUGUAUAUGUUAAUUUAUUUAUUUAAUGAAAUAAAUAAAAUGAAAGCCCUAAGAGUUAAAAUAUAUUUAAUCUUGUGAGAUUAGUGACAUGCAUUACAUGAAUUCAUUUUUGGUUUAACUUUUAGGUCUUAAUGAAAUAAAUAUAAUUAGGUAUGUAAUUAUGGAUAACACUUAAAGGAUAAUCAAGUUCCUAAAUAAGAGUAGUUCAUCUUACAAUUUGCUCUUUUCUUGUUUAAUUACUACUUAACCUUUUUGAGCUAUGUUCCAACACUUAGUGAGUAAUUAUUCCCCAAUUAGGAUUAGUCCAUUUUAUAACUUGAUCUCAUUCCCCUGUACUUAGUACUAUACCUUUUUGAGUUGUGUGCCAAUGCUUGUACAUGUUUGAUGUGAUGUUCAUUUUUACCUUCCAAAUGUAUUGAAUGUAUGGUCGCUUUAUUUAGACAACGAGCAACUCGUGGUUCCUGAGUGUGUUGCCGAAGAUCCCUCUGAGCAACAACCUGGUGAAGGCAAGUGUCCUCAGACCUAUCACGUCCUACUUUACUUUAUAAUUCACUGUCCCGCAUUACAUUAUUGAAACUUAAGGAUUGACUAGUCUGUAUUUACCUUACCCUUGUUUACCUGUUUGAGUCAAUCAUGGUUAGCUUAUGCUAUUUCUUUAACUUAAUCAAUGAACAUGAUGUGAUUAUUUAUGAUACGAUGAUGUUAUCCCGAUGAGGUUCUUGUGAUUCUUUAGGGGGUUCAGGCUGUUUCCUGAGUACCUCUCCGUAAGGACCUAUUUGGGGAGUGACAACCCAGGAUAACAGUGCAACCAUGAGGGUGGAAUGGGACGCCCUUAGCUGAUUAAUUAGAGGAACUAGAGGAGUAGUUGGCUUCGCCGUAGGGCCGUCAAUGGGGUCCGGGCAUAGUACUUGCUCUGCCGAGGCUGGUUGCAGAGGUUCUUUGAUUUGGUUUUGUUAGUCACCCUUCCUUUGGGGAGAUGUAUUGUGUUUAUCAAACUAGAGAAACCUAACAUGCGGCUAUGACCUCUGGGAAAUCUUUGUAAAGGCUACGUAGUGAGACCCUGCUAGGUCACCUUGGUAGUGAACAAUGGGGAGGCUAGAACCCCGGGCAGAAUGGGAAUCACGGCUUGUGGGUAAAGUGUGUGUUGGAACUUGCUACCAGGUGCAAGGGGAUCCAACGGGGGUGAGAGUUGACGUAAACAGGGUUCUAGCAUGGGAUGGCAAAAGCUCUGUUAAUCUAGCCUCUCACGGGCACUGUGCGGGGGUAUUUAUAGGUAUCUGAGCGCCCAGCGUCAUGUGUUAAGGACGCAUGUGCCCUCAGACAUCUAGGUUAUCCCCGGAAUAUUCCCAUAAAGCGGGGUUACAGACCGUAAUUACAGGGAUGCCUUUACAAAUUAGGCCCGUAACGCGCAGCGGCCACGCAGGGCCUGUUAUAAUGGGCCGGAUCACACGUGGGCCUCCAUGCUGGACGAGGUCACAAUGAUGGGACGACCUCGUCACAGGUCUUCGUCUGAUGAUGUGUGGGACGAAGGGUGAGCCUGCCUGUUGUCUUGUCUCCGUUGGUCCGACGAUUACGGCGAAGGCAUCGAGCGAAGGGUGGCGUCUUCGCCUUCGCCCCAACAUUUGCCCUCCGAGGGACCAGUUCGAUUAAGUCAUCUAGUGCCGAAGACGUCGCUAGAUGGCGGAGACGCUGCCCUCGCUCGAAGUGGUUCCACGGGGGUUUUUGACAUGACCGUUGAUUGACACCGUACUAUUGGACUGCGGGUUUCCCGAAGCGCCGCGCACUGUGUAUAAAAGGGGGCGAGGGGCGGCGCAUUUUGAACUUUAUCUUUCCGCGCUCCAUGAAAACCCUAGCCGCCUUUUCCACCUUCUUGCUGCUCGUCUGCCCUCCUUGUUCUUGUUCGCCGGAGAUCUGGCCCGAGUGAAGCAGACCGCCCGCCGCCGCCAACGGUACGUAGCGAUGCCGACUUCUUCUUCUUCUGCUGCCGCUACGCCAUCGGCCGACGCGUCGUCUGAGGAGACGCUGAGCACUAUGGCGGUGGAGGAGUUGCGCGCCGGCGAUACGGUGGAUUUCGGUGUGUCGCGGAUGUCCUCGGUCCGCGUGCAGGAUAUGCAGCAGCUUGGCUACUUUGGCGGCGGAGUCGCUCGCGUCCCGGGGACGGAGGAGGUCCAAGAGCCAGAAGGCGAAUUGGUCGUGUUCGAGGCGUUCUUUGCCGCUGGUCUUCGCCUGCCUGCGCACCGGUUUGUGGGAGAAGUCCUGCGCAGAUUUAACGUUCAGAUCCAUCAGCUGACUCCAAAUGCCGUGGUGGCUCUGUCGAAGUAUGUCUGGGUGACGACUUCGUACGGCGGACAGCCAUCAGUCGAAGUCUUCGCGAAGUACUAUUGCCUGCACUGGCAGAAGAGGAUGAUCGGGAAUGAAGUUGCCCAGUUUGGGUCCUGUACAUUUAUGCCGAAGACCGGCAAGACCUCGAUGGAGGUAGUUGAGUUGGUUCCUUGCGCCCGCAACAAGUGGGGCAACUGGCAUGAGUUUUGGUUCUACGUCGCGGAGGGCACAAUCGAAGACCAUCCGGGGCUCCCCGUGGCCGAGAUGUGCUCGCAUUAUUACUCGGCAUACCCGCCGUUUGAAGUGGUGGAGGAGGAUGUGGACGAAGGGGCCCUUCGGUGCGCCGCCGGCCUGAGCAGCGGGCGCGAUUUGGUUGAGGAGUUUGUGGCAUACGGGGUAUGGCCUUUGGCGCAUGGCUGGGCGUUGGGCGAAGUAUGCCCUCGCCAGAUGCCUUCCCAUGGUGGGAAGCUGGUGCGAAGUCCCGCCUUCGCGCUAGAUCUGCAUAGCCGCGAUCCGGCCGCCUUUGUGCGUGAGGCGGAGGAUGGGGCGGUGCGGAUCGUCGGUCGGUACGUGCCGAGGACGGAGGGCCAGCGUAGCUGGAAUAUUCGCGGGUCUAAUGACCGCUUGAACAGGGUUUUCGAGUUAAACUGUCUGUCGUAUGGCGGUUAUCCCGACCAAGACGAUGUGGAUCGUCGCGGGAAGAAACCGGUGGUAGAGACUGGAGACGACCCCGCGCCGGCGGCUGCCCCGUCCUCCAAGAAGAGGAAACUAGGUAUUGCUAUGGGAGGACUGGGGGUUUCUGAUGGUUUUGCUAGGGAAUUGAUGAGGACAUGCGCGGCCCCGGGGGGAAGGAUGUCUUCGCCCGAGCUCCGGGAGUCUUCGGCGCGGAUGCUGAGGGUUACCGGGGGUUGGUGGCCUAAGAAUGUUCCUAUCCCCCGCGCGGCCGGCGAAGACUUUUUUACAUCUCGCAUGGUUCGUGAUUGGAAAGUGUUUCCUUACGGGCGGAAUAUUGCUGCUGUUGUGUCGGCAGUGAUGGACAAGGAUCGUCAGGGAGCUUCGCAGAAGCGCCAGGCGGUCGUCAGGCUUCAUGAGGCCAGACUGAAGAGGCAGCGGGGGGCUGCGAAGGCUGCUGCCCUCGGCGGGAGCCAGCCGCCGCUAGCGGCGAAAUCGGCCGUCCCUGCAUCCAGCAGGGCGCCGGAGGCUGUGAAGGCGGCUGCCGCCGGUGGUUCCAAGUCUGUGAAGGCCGCCCCUGUGUCCAGCAGGGGGCUAGAGGCUGCGAAGGCGGCCCGAGAGUUGCCGCCUGGGAAGCGCGUCGCCGACUUCGCCACCGACAUUAGUGUGGAAGAUUAUCUUGUCGGUAAGUCGUUGGCUCGAGGUUUUUUUUAUCUGUUGAUACGUCGCAGGGUCGGACGAAGGCCAACUUAUUGUUGUUCUGCCUGCCGUGGCGACCGUAGCGGCUGCCUUGGUGCCCAGGGCGAAGGGCAGUGCUCUUAGUGCCGGCGUGGAGAUACCGACACUCACUGCCGUCAGGGACGAGGCGGGUGCUGUGUCCCGCCGGCUGAAGGAGAUGAAGGAGGCACUGAGCCAGGUACGUUGAGCUAGACUUCGGUUUAUUACCGGCUUCGCUGGGGCUGUGGUCUUAUGUGUGUCUUGUAGGCGGCUAACUUCGCAGACCGCGCGGCGUUGGGGGCCCUGACGGCAGUUGUGUCUGCCGAAGUCGAGAGACUUCGGACGCAACAUGCCGACGCCGUCCGGGAAAAAUCGGCCGCCGACAGCAAGUGCCGCAAGCUGGCGGAUAAGGUGGCCGCGCUGGAGGGUGAAAGGACUGACCUCCGGCGCCAACUGGCGGAGUAAAGGAAGGAGGCUAAUGAGGCCCUCGCCAAGGCACAGUCUGCGCAGGCGGAGGCCAAUUUGGCGCGGUCGGAGGGCAGUCUUGCCAGGCAGCGCGCCGAGCAGUUGGAGGAGCGGCUCAACGCUCUGCAAACUCGUGUGGAGCGGGCCGAGGCCUCGACGCGCGCGGAGGCUGAGCGGACACGUAAACAGCUUAUGGAUUCCUACCGUGAGCUGGGCGCGCGGACCGCUGACUUCGAGGUGUCAGACCGAGAGCCCGGACUUCGCUGCCUCGAGUGGAUACAUGAGGAGUUGCUGGCGCUUCCCGCCAUCGUGGAGGGGUUUAUGUCCUAUGCCUCCCUGGUCACCUGCGAGGGGGCGAUGAACGCGCUCUCUCGCGAAGGGUGCCGGCACUACGAGGUCUUCGACCAAGCUGAUGAGGAUUUUGAGCGUGAUAUCUACAAGGUUGAGGACCCUAUGGUGAAGGAAUCCACGGGAGCCCUCUAUGACCGGAUGUGGGGUCCUCACGGUCGGGAGGUGGUCAGGGAGCGGGCCGAGACGGCGAGGGGUCAGGUAAUGUUUGGCUUUUGUUUGGUGUUUGUUGAGUGUGGGCUAUAUGUGAGUUUGCUGAAUCUGUGUGCUAUGUCUCAGGCAGCGCGUGGCGAGAGGGUGGAUGACUUCGGGGCUUUGAACAGCGAGCUGCCUGACCCGGAGCCGAACCCGGCGGCGGCUGUGUCCGAGGCCGCCCCCGGAAACCGCCGAAGGCGUUCCUGAUGCCCCCGCAGCCACUGCGGCCGACGGAGGCCCGUCGCCAACUGCCGCGCCGAGGGCUGAGGAUCCUGUGAUGGUGGCGGCGGAGUCGACAGCGGAGGAUCCCGCGACGGCUGGGUCUUCGCAGGUGGCUUAGUGGGUGUGGGUAGUUAGGGAAUUUUGGAUAUGUUGCUGAAUCUUGGUUGCUGCGCAGGUUCAAGAUUUUGGGCCUGCGCACGCAACCGCUACUACUAAUUUUUUGGCGGCUUCGACCGUGGAUGAUGGAAAUAAAUCGGAUGGGUUUGCAUCUAAGUUUUCUGAUUUUGGUGACUCUGGAAGCUCGGUUGAGUGGACUGAGGAGUCGUCGGAUGAGGACUUGGACUACUUUGCGGCCUUGGAUGUGGCAGCGGCGGAGGCUUCGCCGCAUGCUGCAGAUGCUGAAGUUGUGCCUGGUCUGAGUACUGGACGUAGGCGGCGAAGGGCGAUUGUGAAGCGUAGAGUGAGUGGGGCGGACGGUGGCCGGCUUCGUGUGAGUAGGGCUGGCAGGCAGGAACUGUUGUGCUUGCCGGCCGCUGUGAGUGCAGGUGAGGGGGAGCUGCGAAGUCUUUUUGCGGGUGAGGAGCUUAGGAUAAUGUUAUUUAACUAUAGGGAGAUGGGAAUUAUUCCAAAGGUUGAGCCUAUGUAGAGUGUGAUGCCCUCGCUUGUACAUGUGUAAUGGCUUGUAUGAUGAGGUUGUGUGCCUUCGCACAUUCGCGAAGGCGAUACGUACUUGGUCUGGUGUAUUUGUUAUGUUGGUCUGGUGCGCAUGUUGUCGGUCUUUGCGCGGACAGUUUGGUGUAGUUGUUUUCGCACUUGUUAAGCUUUGUCCGGCUGCACCCUUAGGCGACCGUUGCACGGAUAGUCUUCGCGGAAGACUUCGAUUUUUCGCACUUGUUGUGCUAGCCCGGCUGCACCCUUAGGUGACUUCUGCACGGAUGGUCUUCGCGGAAAAUUACGAUUUUUCGCACUUGUUGUGCUAGUCCGGCUGCACCCUUAGGCGACUUCUGCACGGAUAGUCUUCGUGGAAGACUUUGAUUUUUCGCACUUGUUGUGCUAGUCCGGCUGCACCCUUAGGCGACUUCUGCACGGAUAGUCUUCGCGGAAGACUUCGAUUUUUCGCACUUGUUGUGCUAGUCUGGCUGCACCCUUAGGCGACUUCUGCACGGAUAGUCUUCGCGGAAGACUUCGAUUUUUCGCACUUGUUGUGCUAGUCCGGCUGCACCCUUAGGCGACUUCUGCGCGGAUAGUCUUCGCGGAAGACUUCGAUUUUUCGCACUUGUUGUGCUAGUCCGGCUGCACCCUUAGGCGACUUCUGCGCGGAUAGUCUUCGCGGAAGACUUCGAUUUUUCGCACUUGUUGUGCUAGUCCGGCUGCACCCUUAGGCGACUUUUGCACGGAGUUGUCGCACGCGAGGGUGGCUAGCGCUGAGCCUCGCGGUGACUUUGUAUUGGUCGAAUGUCGAAGACUGUCGGCGCAGUCUUGUUUCGACGCAGGUUUUUGCGGGGGAUUUUUCACUUGUAUAUUACAUGACUCCGCCUCGUUAAAAACCUCACCCCCCGGGAGGAAAAGAGUGCGGGCCACAAUAAAAUUGUUUUUGCGAAUUACAAGGGCGAAUCGGCCCUGAUGAGUCAAACAAAAAAUUUGCGGAGAUUGUCGAUGUUCCAGGAGUGCUCCAGGUCUUCGCCGUUUGGCGUUGCGAGCCUGUAAGCGCUGGGGGAAGCCUUCAUCUUGACAAUGAAAGGGCCCUCCCACUUGGGCUCCAGCUUGCCCCUGGACUCUGUCCGAGCUGUUCGGACAAGUACGAGGUCCCCUUCGCUGAAUUCCCUCGGGAUGACUGUGUGGUCGCGCCAUGCUUUUGUCUGGGCUUGGUAUUUAUUUAGAGCCUGUAGGGCGAAGACUCGGUCUCCAUCGAUGAGAUCCUUCGAAGUGGGCUCGUCCACGUCGGGGACGGCUGACGGAACUGUUUGCGGGGACCCAUGUCUUAUUUCUUGUGGGGUCAUGGCCUCCGAUCCAUAUAGAAGGCGGAAAGGGGUGAACCCGGUCGCCCUGCACUCAGUCGUGUUUAGCGCCCAGACCGCCUCAGGUAGCAAAUCGGCCCACUUGCCCUUUUUUCGUCGAGGAGCAUCUUUUUGACAGCUGUGAAAAUUUUUCCAUUGGCACGCUCCACAACUCCGUUGGACUGUGGGUGAUAUAUUGAGGCGAAGGCAAGCUUGGUGCCAAUGGAGAAGCAUAAAUCCUUGAAGUCUUGGCUGUCGAACUGCUUGCCGUUGUCGACUGUUAGUUCGGACGGUACUCCGAAGCGGCAAACAAUGUUUUGCCAAAAGAAUUUCUGUGCAGUCUUUGAUGUUAUUGUGGAAACAGCCCUCGCCUCGAUCCAUUUGGUAAAGUAUUCGACAGCGACGAAGGCGAACUUAAGGUUCCCCUGAGCCGUGGGCAGGGGCCCGACGAUGUCCAGGCCCCAGCGCUGUAGAGGCCAUGUGUGCGCGAUCAGUUUUAUGAAUUGCGAGGGGCUGCCUGACCGAGGAGAAAACUUCUGGCAGGCUUCGCAGGACCUUGCAACCCGAUUUGCGGCGCAGAUCAUUGCGGGCCAGUAGAAACCUUGGCGGAUCACCUUUGCGGCUAGGGCCCUUGGCCCUGCGUGAGAGCCGCAAGUACCACUGUGGACUUCGCGCAGGAUUUGGACGCCUUCGGUCUCGGUGACACAUUUAAGCAUUAGCUGACUGACCCCUUUCUUGUAGAGUUGGCCCUCAAUCAGUGCGAAGUCCCGGCUUCGAUGUUUGAGGCGCUUGGCCUCGUUGAUGUCGGUUGGGUGGUAGUACCCCUGUAGGAACAGGGUUAUUGGUGCCCGCCAGUCUUCGGUCAUAAUAAGGUUGACUAUGCGGUGGCCCUCGCUGUCAUUGGUUAUUUGGAGCCCUUCGGGGCUCCGGACGGCUGGCGUGCCGAUGACAUGGUAGAACACGUCGGAGGGCAGGGACUCGCCUCUGGCGGCAGCCUUGGCCAGUGCGUCGGCCUCUUCAUUCUUGGCCCGGUCCACAUGCUGCAAGGUGAAUCCCUUGAAUUGUCUCUCGAGACUUCGGAUGGCCGCGAGGUAUUACAUAAGUGCGGGGUCCUUUGCUGCAUAGUCUUUCUCGACUUGGCCGGCAACUACCUUGGAGUCUGUUCUGAUGAUGCAGGUGGUGACCCCAAGGGCCCUCAGCUUGCGGAGGCCGAGGAUGACUGCUUCGUAUUCUGCUAUGUUAUUUGUGCAUCUGUCAGAUUCCAGAGCGAAGCUGAGGCGUGCUGCGUAUCUGUGCUUGACCCCGGCGGGUGAGGUGAUGACUGCAGCGGCGCCUGCCCCCGCAUGGCACCAUGCGCCGUCGCAGUGGAUCGUCCAAACCUUCUCUGCGGACGGGUCCGGCUGUGUUAUUGGCCCAGUCCAGUCGACGACGAAGUCUGCCAGGACUUGUGACUUGAUGGCUGUCCUGGGCUCGAAAUUGAUGUGGUAGCCGGAGAGUUCGGCCACCCACUUGGCAAUCCUCACCGAUGGCUCUGGGUUUCUGAACAAUUCACCGAGUCCCCUGUCUGAGGUGACUCGGACCUUGAAUGCUUCAAAAUAAUGGCGCAAUUUGCGCGAAGACAUAACAACCGCGUAGGCAAUCUUCUCCAGUUCUGUCAUGUUACAUUUGGACGGUGUCAGCACUUCGGAGACGUAAUAAACUGGGCACUGCCUGAUCACGCCCUCAACUGUCUGCUCCUGCACCAGUGCCGCACUGACCGCUUGCGGCGAAGCCGCAACAUAGAGCAACAGGGGUAGCGAAGAGUCGGGGCUUGUAAGGACUGCCAACUCCGAUAGGUACUGUUUUAAUGAGGCGAAGGCCGCUGCCUGCUCUGGUCCCCAAGCGAAGUCUUUUGCGCCACAGAGAGUUUUGAGGAAAGGGAGACUUCGCUCAGCGGAUUUGGAGAUGAAUCUAUUGAGGGCGGCCAACCUGCCCGUCAGGCGCUGGACGUCUCUGGCGGACUGCGGAGGCGUCAUGUUGAUGAUGGCCUGAAUUUUGGUUGGGUUGACCUCGAUGCCGCGGUGUGAUACCAGGUAGCCCAAUAUUUUGCCUUGGCGAACGCCGAAGACACACUUCUCCGGGUUCAGGCGAAGUCGUGCGUCUCGCAUGUUCGCGAAUGUCUCGGCGAGGUCAGCGAGAUGGUCCUCCUUGCUCUUGCUGGCGACGACGAUGUCGUCCAUAUAUGUGAAUAUAUUUCUGCCAACCUGCCCUUCGAGCACUGUCUUGGUAAGCCGGGAGAAGGUGGACCCGGCGUUCUUGAGUCCCUCCGGCAUUCUGAUGAAGCAAUAUGUGCCGAAGAGUGUUAUAAAGCUGGUGCUUGCCUUGUCUUCCUCCUUCAUGUAUAUUUGGUGGUAACCGGAGAAGCAGUCGAGGAGUGACAUGACUUCGCAUCCGGCCGCGCUAUCGACUAUUUUGUCGAUCCGCGGCAACGGGAAGUUGUCCUUUGGGCAGGCCUUGUUGAGACUGGUGAAGUCGAUGCACAUUCGCCACUUGCCGCUCUUUUUCUGCACCAUCACUACGUUGGAGAGCCACGUGGGGUAAGCCACCGGCUCGAUGAAUUUGGCUUCCAGGAGGCGGUGUACCUCUGCCUUGGCGGCCUCUAUCUUCUCGUCGGACAUUUUGCGAAGCCGCUGUUUUUUCGGUCUCACCGAAGGGUCGAUUCCCAAGCUAUGCUCAAUUAUGGAUCGGCUGACCCCGACUAGGUCGAGGGCUGACCAGGUGAAGACAUCUUUGUUCUUGGACAGGCAGCAGAGGAGUUUCUCCUCUUCAUGCGAAGUGAGGUCUUUGCUGAUGGUGACUGUCUGCUUGGGCGUGGCUUGGUCGAGGGGAACAGUCUUGGUCCCGUCGUUGCUCUGCAGCUGUGCCUUGUCGUGCUCUUUGUCGGUUGGGUUGACGGACGCUGGGACCUCGCGCUGGGCCGUGAGGCAGUUCACGUUUCUUUGUCCGGGGACGAAGUCCCGUUCUAUGUUGCGCGCAGUCUGUUGAUUGCCGUAGACCGCAAUGGCGCCUAACGGACCUGGUAUCUUCAUGCACAGGUACAGUUCGUGAAUGGCUGCCUCAAACUUGUUGAUAGAACCCCGGCCCAUGAUGGCGUUGUACAGAUACACCAUAUCGACGAUAUCAAAGGUUAUUUGCUCACUUCGGGCAUUGGGUGCUACACCGAAGGAGAGAGGCAGCUCUAUUUUGCCGACAGGAAAAGUGCCCUUGCCACCGAAACCAUACAAUGGGUUGUCCGAAGGCUUGAGUAGGCUGUGGCUUAUGCCCAUGCGGUCGAAGGCAUGGAGGAAAAUGAUGUCUGCUUGACUGCCAUUGUCGACUAGGACUUUGUGCAGGUCUCAGCCUGCCACGCUGCAGUUGAUAACCAUGGUGUCGAUGUGGGGGGCGCUGCGCAGGUCGACGUCUCGUGCGUCGAAGGUUAGCGGUACGUGGGACCACUUCGUCUGCACGAUUGGGCCAGUGAUGGCAACGUGGUUGAUGCUGCGGUAGUGGUCCCGCUUCUGCCGCUUUGUGUCGAAGUCGGUGCUGGACCCCCCAGUGAUCAUGUGAAUGACUCCACGAUACGACUGAUCGGCGAAGUCUUCUUGUUUUGGGGCGUGGGGGUGGGGGAUGUUCUGAUGUUGCUGGUGUGGAGGCAGGGGUGGGGGAGGUACGAUUUGUACUUCCUGGUGGUGUUGGUAUGCGUGGUGCGGUGGAUGCGGGGCGGGAGCGUGGAUGUAUGGUGGAGGGGGUUGCUGAUAAGUGUGGGCGACAACUCUGGGGUUGUUGGCUGGCUGUGCCCGUGCCAUCCUGUCUUUGGUGGCCUUCGUUUCUGGGCAGUCUCUGGUUUGGUCGGCGCAGUCUUCGCCAUGAAAAAGACAGUAGAAUCGGCGCGGCGACUGCGCACGCCCCCGACCCCUACCGCGAGUUCCGUUUCCGCGGCCCUGGGGGGAUACUCCUGGCGGCGAGGGGCGUCAGCAGCGGGGUGCUGGUUGGCGAUGUUGUGCACUUGUUGCUGAUUGCGGCCGUCUCGACCGGAGUCUGGCUGCGGAGUCCUCGUCCACGUGCGACUGGACUGUGGAGCAUCUUUGGGUUUCCUCUGGGACUCAACCUUGCGCUGGUGGAGUUCUUCGGAUUUGGCAUAUUUUUCAAAAAGCUGAUAUAAUUCCUGGAGGUUCUUGGGCAGGUCCUUGAUGCAGUGGCUGUAAAGGACGCCGGCGCGAAGGCCACUGAUGGCGUAGUGGAUGGCGAUCUGGUCAUCAACUGAGGGUAGCUGUGACUUGAGUGUUAGAAACUUGCGGUAAUACUCCCGCAGAGUCUCUUUUUCCAGCUGCUUGCAGAGUGAGAGUUCGGCGAAGGCGUCGGUGUCUGGGCGGUACCCUUGGAAGUUGAGCAGGAAUUUGUCCCGGAGGCUUCUCCAGGAGUCAAUGGACAGCGGGGGCAACCUAGUGAACCAGGUGAGAGCUGGACCUUCGAGGGCUAUGAUGAAAGACUUGGCCAUCGUGGUGUCGUCCCCUCCGGAAGAUGCAAUGGCGACCUGAUAGCUCAUGAUGUAUUGUGCUGGGUCCGUGCUGCCGUUGUACUUGGGAUAAGUCCCUGCCCGGAAGUUGGCAGGCCAGGGUGUCACUUGCAGGUGUGGUGCCAGGGGACUUCGCUCGUCGAGGUAGUUGACCCCUUAGAAUGGCGCGGCGUGUGGGAAGUCGUGGUCGCGCUGGGGGAAGUGUGGGUCUUCCAUUUGCGCGCGCUGUUGCAGGGGUGGCCCGUGCUGCAGGCCGAGGUGGCCUUCGUGUAUGUCUUCCAGUUGUGCGCGCUGUUGCAGGGGUGGCCCGUGCUGCAGGCCGAGGUGGCCUUCGCGUUGCAUCAGCGCGAUCUCCCGCUCGAGGUCCUGGGCCUUCUGCUCUUCGUCGCGUAUCAUUUGCUGCACCUUGGCUAGUGCGGACACGCGCUGACGCUUGGCCUCCAGUAUCUCUUUUUGCCUCUGGAGAUUGUGGUUCUUGAGGCGUAGGGCGCGCAGCUGUAGCUGUUCUUCCGCUGAGACGCCGAGGACUUCACCGUCCUCGAUGAUGUCCGCGCCCUCCGGUGGGGCGAAGCCUGGGGGAGGCUGCGAUUGUCCUUCAGGGCCGCAGUUGCGGAGAGCGUCAUCUUCGCAGGUGCGGAGAACGUCGUCUUCAGUAGCCUCUUGGUGGGUGGAGUGGGUGAGGGCGAGGGCCUUGCCCUUUUUUGCGGCCAGCAGUGUUGCCUUCGCAGCCUCGUCAGCCUUCGAGCUAGCUUUCUUGGGUGCCAUCGCGGGUGGUUUUUUCGUAGCACGAACGGUGGGCGCCAAAUGUUGGAACUUGCUACCAGGUGCAAGGGGAUCCAACGGGGGUGAGAGUUGACGUAAACAUGGUUCUAGCACGGGAUGGCAAAAGCUCUGUUAAUCUAGCCUCUCACGGGCACUGUGCGGGGGUAUUUAUAGGUAUCUGAGCGCCCAGCGUCCUGUGUUAAGGACGCAUGUGCCCUCAGACAUCUAGGUUAUCCCCGGAAUAUUCCCAUAAAGCGGUGUUACAGACCGUAAUUACAGGGAUGCCUUUACAAAUUAGGCCCGUAACGCGCAGCGGCCACGCAGGGCCUGUUACAAUGGGCCGGAUCACACGUGGGCCUCCAUGCUGGACGAGGUCACAAUGAUGGGACAACCUCGUCACAGGUCUUCGUCCGAUGACGUGUGGGACGAAGGGUGAGCCUGUCUGUUGUCUUGUCUCCAUUGGUCCGACGAUUACAGCGAAGGCAUCGAGCGAAGGGUGGCGUCUUCGCCUUCGCCCCAACAGUGUGCAACCUCUGCAGUGUGUUAGAAACUGGUAUAUCAGCCGUGCUCACGGUUAAGAGCAGCCUUGGGAUCCUCUUUGAUUAGAAGAACUUUGGUUACUUUUAGGAUGAUGAUUAACAAUGGUGAUUAUAAUUCUGAUCUCUGGUAUUUCCUCUUAGAGGGAGUACUCCUGGGUAAUAACUGGGUUAUUACUAAAAUUUGGCUCUACUUAUAGUAAUAAAACUUGACCAACUAAAAGCAACUGCUUAACCUAAACUCCACAUACAGCUAGUCCACUUUAUGCCAAACGAGACAUUUGCUGAGUACGUUGAAGUGUACUCACCCUUGCUUUACAAACCACCCCACCCCAGGUUGUCUCCACUGUACUCAGUGCUCAGGAGGUGAAGCUGGCAAUAUGGAGGACUUCGAGGAGUUCCAGGACUACGACGAGUUCUAGUUUACUUUAGUGGCAAACCCACAGUCAGUUGCUUGUGUAGGCUUUCUUCUAUGUUUCAUUACUCCGCACUUUGAUGUUAAUGUUAAACACUGUGGAUAUGUAUUAGACUCUAUGGAUGUCUCAGACAUCCUGAUGUAAUUAAGUACCUUUCCGUUAUUUAAUUCGAGCAUUGUGUGAUGAUGUCCAAUUAUGUAAUCGUUGUGUACGUGAGUUCUGAUCCUGGCACAUACAUGGUUCGCAUUCGGUUUACCUUCCAAAACCGGGUGUGACAUACAUGGACGGUGGGCUAAUUCCCAAAAAGAGCAGGGGCUCUUAUGUAAGAAUUCCCAGUCGAAGGGGUAUUGUGCGCUCAGAGCCGCACGAUUAGAAUCUAGCGCGCCAGAUCAGAUCUUGAUCGGUCACCGAGUGAAGCCAUUGGAUUCAGAUCCGACGGCCCUGAUUAAAAGGUUGAAGGACUAUUCUGGGUUCUCAUCCGCACCACACAUUAGUGAUCCUACGGUUUGAUUCUAACUCCUCGAUAGGGUUUGUGAUGACCGAUUCAUGUCCGUCCGUUACCGGAUCUACGACCAGUAUUGAAUGGGUAUCCUAUGCUCUAAUUAGAGCCAUCCAUGGCCGGAUCAACGCCCCUGACAAUUCUUCCCCACCCAAGCACAUCAGGCGGUGGUGCUGGCCUCCCCCGCGGCGUCGACCAUCGACCAGAGAAGCCCGACACAGCCCCUAGAGCACCCAAACCAUCAUUAUUACACGCUACGCAACACAGUGAACAGAACAAAUCAAUCUCAAAGCUUCUUACCUACAAUGGUGUUGCGACGCAUACCGCCCUCGGAGUAGUGUGGCCCACGACGGCGCCAUUGCUCCGUUGAGCGAUUUGGCCAAGCACGCCACAAAAUCCCCGCACCGCAGACCAUGCACACGACCUACGCUCCCUGGUGAACAUGUACGAUCCCCAUACAAGGCUGAAUGAUGACCGAUGCGUGAAGUGGCUGCGGCGGUCAGAUUCUCUCACAUCUCACCAUGGUGCCCGGUAAUGAUGUCUCCUUGCUCACGGCGAGCAACUCCAGUUCCUG